Molecule: long non-coding RNA, 282 nt
Filed under: Dermacentor andersoni
Lineage: Eukaryota; Metazoa; Arthropoda; Arachnida; Ixodida; Ixodidae
Description: uncharacterized LOC126517444
Source: RNAcentral
ACAAAUGGUCGUUGUAAGUCAAAACAACCUUGCGUCCAAUGGAGCAGAACCUUGAACGAAGACCUUGCUGACAACACUGGCCUCCAGACAGCUUUCAAUGCAUAUGCCAAAGUACUUGAAGAAGAAUGUGGAGGGCAAGACACUCGUCUAACAGGCCUAGAAGAAUACAGCGGAACGCAGCUGUUCUUCAUUUCGCGUGCUAUGACUUUGUGCAAAACAGCAGACAAGUAUUCCCUCAUCGAAGAGAUAAGAAGGGUAAUAUUCAGCUCUGCGCAAAACAGG